Molecule: long non-coding RNA, 120 nt
Organism: Etheostoma cragini (Arkansas darter)
Lineage: Eukaryota; Metazoa; Chordata; Actinopteri; Perciformes; Percidae
Exons: 3
Source: RefSeq, a predicted model, not a curated record
CGCGCUGGCACUCCACACGCUACGCUGGUCGACGUAACGACGCCACCGUUGAUUACAGGACGGUGUUUACGUAGGUAGACCGUUCAAUGCAGUAGGCUGUGAGAAAGAGAUUUAACUCGU